RNAcentral lists this ribosomal RNA (338 nucleotides) under uncultured Allobrachymonas sp. RNAcentral describes it as "bacterial SSU rRNA". It matches the Rfam family "Bacterial small subunit ribosomal RNA", at positions 1039 to 1382 of the family's 1533-position model. The record is from RNAcentral. Lineage: Bacteria; Pseudomonadati; Pseudomonadota; Betaproteobacteria; Burkholderiales; Comamonadaceae.
UGGUGCAUGGUUGUCGUCAGCUCGUGUCGUGAGAUGUUGGGUUAAGUCCCGCAACGAGCGCAACCCUUGCCAUUAGUUGCUACGAAAGGGCACUCUAAUGGGACUGCCGGUGACAAACCGGGAGGAAGGUGGGGAUGACGUCAAGUCCUCAUGGCCCUUAUAGGUGGGGCUACACACGUCAUACAAUGGCCGGUACAGAGGGUAGCCAACCCGCGAGGGGGAGCCAAUCCCACAAAGCCGGUCGUAGUCCGGAUCGCAGUCUGCAACUCGACUGCGUGAAGUCGGAAUCGCUAGUAAUCGCGGAUCAGCAUGUCGCGGUGAAUACGUUCCCGGGUCUU